CAGUCAUAACGGCCCAAAUGUGACCCUGUCUGGCUGUGGAAAGUGCAUUGAGCUGAACAUUUCUAUGCCUAAAGUCCAGGGACGAUCUAGAUCCCGGGACAUGACAAAGAUUUAUAAUUUAUCUUACAAUGUUUCAUGGAGGAGGAGGCCGGAGCUCAAGGCAGUGGACUACAUACUGACUAAAACCCAGACUGUUAUCAUCCCAGACCUGCUCUCGGGCACAGAGUACUGUGUUCAGGUCAAGCCCAAAUAUUUGGAAGUAACCUUCCUGCCAUCACCGUGGAAAUGUGUCUUCACCAGCAUAGUGCCGCCAUCACAAGUGCUGGCAGUGGUGGGCUCAGUGGCAGGUCUGGUGGUUCUCAGCCUCUCUGCUCUGGUCCUGGUCUUCUUCGCUCUACAUUACACAGGGAUCAUAUGCAAACUCAAAGAAGCCCUGCCACACCCUCUCAGUACAGGUGUAUGGCAGCGCUCCCUUCUGAGGCUGGAGAGGACGGUCCCAGAGCCAGUGUCGCUCCUGCCAGGGACCGGGAAACGGCAGCACAGUAACUGGGACCAGGACGAGGACGAGGAGGACCAGGGGACACAGCAGGUCCACCCGACGGAGGCUCAGGAGGAGGACCAGUACAUGAACCGAUGCGGGGAUCUAUCCUCAGACUACAGCUCCAGGAGUGGGAACAUGACUUCAAGUUGUCAAUCAGCAGCAACAGUCAGUGAUCAUCCCCAAAGUCAGGAUGAGAGUAUCGAAGGGAACAAAGAAGAACAAGCACAAAGUAUGAACAUUGAAGACUGGGUGGAAAAGAAGAGAUUCAAGACUGCAAAGAUACAGACGAUUGGCACAAGUUGGAGAACUUUGAAAGUGUGGACCUUUUUUCAGUCACCAUUGCAGCUCUGGACGUCCAGUCAGACCAAGUCCUCCAACACACACCCUAUGAGUCUGACCAGGAGCAGUCUGACGACCAGCCCUCCGGCGCUCGCCCUACGAGUCUGACGUCCAGCCCCUCCGGCACUCGCCCUACGAGUCUGACGUCCAGCCCCUCCGCACCGCCCUACGAGUCGACGCACCGCCCCCCGGCCCGCCCUACGAGUCUGACGUCCAGCCCCCGCCGCCCUACGAGUCUGCCCCCCCCCCCCCCCACGACCGCCCCCCCCCCCCCCCCCCCCCCCCCCCCCCCCCCACGAUCUGACGCCAGUCCAGCCCCUCCGGCGCUCGCCCUACGAGUCUGACGUCCAGCCCCUCCGGCGCACGCCCUACGAGUCUGACGUCCAGCCCCUCCGGCCCGCCCUACGAGUCUGACGUCCAGCCCCUCCGGCACACGCCCUACGAGUCUGACGCCAGCCCCUCCGGCACACGCCCUACGAGUCUGACGUCCAGCCCCUCCGGCGCUCGCCCUACGAGUCUGACGUCCAGCCCCUCCGGCACACGCCCUACGAGUCUGACGUCCAGCCCCUCCGGCACUCGCCCUACGAGUCUGACGUCCAGCCCCUCCGGCGCUCGCCCUACGAGUCUGACGUCCAGCCCCUCCGGCGCUCGCCCUACGAGUCUGACGUCCAGCCCCUCCGGCGCUCGCCC
This is a long non-coding RNA of Neogobius melanostomus (round goby), 1570 nucleotides long. The record is from Ensembl. NCBI's taxonomy places the organism in Eukaryota, Metazoa, Chordata, Actinopteri, Gobiiformes, Gobiidae.